AGUAGAUUGCAACUCAUCCCAGGCAAACAACAGCAAGGAUGCCUAGGGCAGCAGCGGCAGCCCCAAACGAUGUUCACCUGCAGGUUGUUGGAGUCCUGGGAAGGUGUUAGCGGUGUUUGUUAGAAGCACUUCCCUGCCCUGGAAACCUUGUUGUUUGUUGGAGAGGCACUGAAGAGCAGGUCCAUAUGCACAGGGCACUGCCACCGAUCAAAGGCACGGGCGGAGAGGAUGAGCACGCUCUCCAGGUGGGCCCUUUCUUCAGAAAUUCCAGCACAAGGAAAUCCAGCUAUUCCUCCCUAAGACAGAUGUUGAUCGACUCUUUACUGCUUUCAACUCUGGGGUCAUGUUCUACUAAAAGUUUUAUGAAAACAACAAAGAAAAUAUUAGAACUCCUUUGAGAGAAAAAAAGGAAUGUACAAGCCAAGGAUGAAUGAGGGGUGAGAGAGGCUCACUGCAGAAGAAAAA
This 465-nucleotide long non-coding RNA is filed under the name Homo sapiens (human). RNAcentral describes it as "non-protein coding lnc-PFKP-3:1". The record is from RNAcentral. Lineage: Eukaryota; Metazoa; Chordata; Mammalia; Primates; Hominidae.